Molecule: unclassified non-coding RNA, 417 nt
Filed under: Hevea brasiliensis (rubber tree)
Lineage: Eukaryota; Viridiplantae; Streptophyta; Magnoliopsida; Malpighiales; Euphorbiaceae
Source: RNAcentral
UUCUCCAAGAAAGCCAAAUGCUCUGCUUUUUUUAUCACAUGAGUACUAAAGAUCGCUGGCCCUGAGUCUCUUCCUCCACCCCUUAUCGCUGCCAAUGCAAGCUUGAACAUCAACAAAAACACAAACCCAGAUAUAGUUCCGGCAACCGCUCCGGCGAGAAAUCCUAGGAUCCACCCACUAAACCUCUUUUUGCUCUUUUUGCUCUUGUGAUGGGCGCCUCCUGUCGACGAUGGGCUAGGAGCUUGAGCAGAACCCAUUGUUGCAGUUGGUCCAGCUGCAGAAGAAACAUUUUUGCUUCCUCUGGUUGUAUUAUUCUGAGCUAAGAGAUAACGUUUUGGGUAUUGAGAUGCUAUGGAUCCAGCUUUGCUCACAUAUCCCUCAAGAAAGUUAUUCCCAGAGAAGUCGAAGAAUUGGAGA